RNAcentral lists this ribosomal RNA (414 nucleotides) under Albunea thurstoni. RNAcentral describes it as "partial large subunit ribosomal RNA". Lineage: Eukaryota; Metazoa; Arthropoda; Malacostraca; Decapoda; Albuneidae. The record is from RNAcentral.
UGAUUUAGCGAUUGAAGGGCCGCAGUAUUUUGACUGUGCAAAGGUAGCAUAAUCAUUAGUUCUUUAAUUGAGAGCUGGAAUGAAUGGUUGGACGAGAAAAAAGCUGUUUCUUCUAGAAAAUUUGAAGUUAACUUUGUGCAAAGGCCUGAAUUUUGGGGGACGAUAAGACCCUAUAAAUCUUUACAGUUAUUUUAUUAUUUAAACAGUUCAUUUGUUUAUGUUAGGAAAUUAAUUGUUUCACUGGGGCGGUGCUUAAAUCUGUUUGAAAAAAAUACAAUUAUUUUUGUUGAAUUAAAGAUCCUUUUUAGAGAUUAUAAGUUAAAGUUACUUGGACAGCGUAAUUUUUUUCAAGAGUUCAUAUCUAAAAAAGAGUUUGCGACCUCGAUGUUGAAAAAUUUCCUAAAGGUUGUAGAA